UACGGAGGGAGCUAGCGUUGUUCGGAAUUACUGGGCGUAAAGCGCACGUAGGCGGAUAUUUAAGUCAGGGGUGAAAUCCCAGAGCUCAACUCUGGAACUGCCUUUGAUACUGGGUAUCUUGAGUAUGGAAGAGGUAAGUGGAAUUCCGAGUGUAGAGGUGAAAUUCGUAGAUAUUCGGAGGAACACCAGUGGCGAAGGCGGCUUACUGGUCCAUUACUGACGCUGAGGUGCGAAAGCGUGGGGAGCAAACAGG
This 253-nucleotide ribosomal RNA is filed under the name uncultured bacterium. Its description in RNAcentral is "partial 16S ribosomal RNA". It matches the Rfam family "Bacterial small subunit ribosomal RNA", at positions 524 to 776 of the family's 1533-position model. The record is from RNAcentral.